UCUCCGUAGGUGAACCUGCGGAGGGAUCAUUACUGAGUGAGGGCCCCCGGCCCGACCUCCAACCCUUUGUGUAUCUCGACCCUGUUGCCUCGGGGGCGACCCUGCCGUUUCGACGGCGAGCGCCCCCGGAGGCCAUUAAACACUGCAUCAUUGCGUCGGAGUUAAAGUAAAUUAAACAAAACUUUCAACAACGGAUCUCUUGGUUCCAGCAUCGAUGAAGAACGCAGC
This 228-nucleotide unclassified non-coding RNA is filed under the name uncultured fungus. RNAcentral describes it as "sequence contains ITS1, 5.8S rRNA gene". The stretch from base 180 to 228 matches the Rfam family "5.8S ribosomal RNA", at positions 1 to 49 of the family's 154-position model. Lineage: Eukaryota; Fungi. The record is from RNAcentral.